RNAcentral lists this ribosomal RNA (446 nucleotides) under uncultured bacterium. Its description in RNAcentral is "partial 16S ribosomal RNA". It matches the Rfam family "Bacterial small subunit ribosomal RNA", at positions 338 to 795 of the family's 1533-position model. The record is from RNAcentral.
CCUACGGGGAGCUGCAGUCGAGAAUCAUUCACAAUGGGGGAAACCCUGAUGGUGCGACGCCGCGUGGGGGAAUGAAGGUCUUCGGAUUGUAAACCCCUGUCAUGUGGGAGCAAAUUAAAAAGAUAGUACCACAAGAGGAAGAGACGGCUAACUCUGUGCCAGCAGCCGCGGUAAUACAGAGGUCUCAAGCGUUGUUCGGAAUCACUGGGCGUAAGGCGUGCGUAGGCUGUUUCGUAAGUCGUGUGUGAAAGGCGCGGGCUCAACCCGCGGACGGCACAUGAUACUGCGAGACUAGAGUAAUGGAGGGGGAACCGGAAUUCUCGGUGUAGCAGUGAAAUGCGUAGAUAUCGAGAGGAACACUCGUGGCGAAGGCGGGUUCCUGGACAUUAACUGACGCCGAGGCACGAAGGCCAGGGGAGCGAAAGGGAUUAGAUACCCGAGUAGUC